UAUCAGACCAGGAGCAGAGAAUUUAUAAUAUGUGCUUUAUAGCAAAAUGUAUUAAAUUGUGGUUAAAAUUUAUAGCUCAUAUGUAGCUGCUGCCAAUAAGAAGGCUCAGAAUUGUUCUGUGGAUUAAUUUUUACAUCCUGUUUUCUGUCACUUUUACCAAUCUUCUUGGCCUCAUGUACAAUAAUGUAAAGCCAAUUUGAUGAAAUGGUUCAGGUUGUAGCAGUCUAUAAAUUGUCGGUACAUUCAGCUCUUCUAGGUGAGCAAUACUGCUGCUAUUUUUCUAGAAAUAGCAAUCAUUUAAAAAUGCCAAAUAGCUAACUGCUACCAACUCUUUCUUGUAUCUUGUCUCUUUAGAGAAGGAAAUUUUUGUGUGCCAGUAAUCAUCAAAGAGGUGUUUUAUAAGAGUGUUGAUGUUCAGAAGUUCAUGAAAGUAUUUUAUCCGUAUAAUUUGCUAGUGAGCUAAAACAAUAUAAUUUAUGUAAAUCUUUAUAUGUACAAAAUAUAUAGUCUGUUGUACUUGAGUAAUUUGGUCUAUGGAAUUUUAAAUGCCUUCAUUUAGCAGUAAUAUUCACAUUUUUAUUUUAGACAGUUAAGUUCAUGUGUUUGAUUUUGUCAUGUCAGCAUAAAUGAGAAAAAGAAGUGGAUCAUGCAGCUAAUGAGUAACCAACAUUUUGUAAAGUUUUAAAGUUUUAGCAAACAACAUUAUUCCAUCUCAUUUAAAGGUUAAAAAAGAAGAGACAACUCUAGCCAAAGUAGAAAUUUAUAUUCUACACGUCCAAACUGUCUCCUAGCAGCUUUUGGACUAUAUAUCACUUGAUGUUAAAGUAUCUUUUAUUUGUAAUAAAUAUUCAAAUUUCUAUUUAGAAGCUCUAAUGUAUACCUAGAUUAAAUCAAAUCACAGUUUUAUGCUUUUAAAAUAUAUGUAUUUCAAACUGUAUAUUUUAAUUUCUGAGUGCAUGUUAUAUAGUAUUUAAUACUUCAGAUGUCUUGGCAAAUUCAAUAUAAGUAUUUAUUCCCACAAGCGAUAUAUGGGAUAUCUCUUAAAAAUUAUGAAUAUGUACCAUUUCCUUCAAAGUCAUCCUAGCCUAUGCUGUAUCAAAAGUAUUGUAUAUUUUAUGGAGAUUUAGUGAUAUACAUGUAAAUGUUUUUUAAGUUAUUUUAUUGAAGUUCAAUCUUUACAUAAAAUUAAAAUCUUUUUUU
Molecule: long non-coding RNA, 1200 nt
Filed under: Homo sapiens (human)
Lineage: Eukaryota; Metazoa; Chordata; Mammalia; Primates; Hominidae
Description: non-protein coding lnc-ABCD2-4:1
Source: RNAcentral